GGCCGCGGGAAUUCGAUUCAGGCCUAACACAUGCAAGUCGAGCGAACCCUUCGGGGUGAGCGGCGGACGGGUGAGUAACGCGUGGGUAACCUGCCCUGUACACACGGAUAACAUACCGAAAGGUAUGCUAAUACGAGAUAAUAUAUUUUAGUCGCAUGGCUAAGAUAUCAAAGCUCCGGCGGUACAGGAUGGACCCGCGUCUGAUUAGCUAGUUGGUGAGGUAAUGGCUCACCAAGGCGACGAUCAGUAGCCGACCUGAGAGGGUGAUCGGCCACACUGGAACUGAGACACGGUCCAGACUCCUACGGGAGGCAGCAGUGGGGAAUAUUGCACAAGGGGCGAAAGCCUGAUGCAGCAACGCCGCGUGAGCGAUAGAGGCCUUCGGGUCGUAAAGCUCUGUCCUCAAAGAAGAUAAUGAC
RNAcentral lists this ribosomal RNA (419 nucleotides) under uncultured bacterium. RNAcentral's name for it is "bacterial SSU rRNA". It matches the Rfam family "Bacterial small subunit ribosomal RNA", at positions 39 to 455 of the family's 1533-position model. The record is from RNAcentral.